Molecule: long non-coding RNA, 4877 nt
Organism: Bombina bombina (fire-bellied toad)
Lineage: Eukaryota; Metazoa; Chordata; Amphibia; Anura; Bombinatoridae
Exons: 4
Source: RefSeq, a predicted model, not a curated record
UGGUUAGAAGAGCUGGUAUAUAUAAAUAGAUGAUAGGUAGAGAUAUAGAUGGCUAGAAGAGCUGGUAUAUAUAAAUAGAUGAUAGGUAGAGAUAUAGAUGGGUAGAAGAGCUGGUAUAUAUAAAUAGAUGAUAGGUAGAGAUAUAGAUGGUUAGAAGAGCUGGUAUAUAUAAAUAGAUGAUAGGUAGAGAUAAUGAUGGUUAGAAGAGCUGGUAUAUAUAAAUAGAUGAUAGGUAGAGAUAUAGAUGGGUAGAAGAGCUGGUGUAUAUAAAUAGAUGAUAGGUAGAGAUAUAGAUGGGUAGAAGGGCUGGUAUAUAUAAAUAAGAUAGGUAGAGAUAUAGAUGGUUAGAAGAGCUGGUAUAUAUAAAUAGAUGAUAGGUAGAGAUAUAGAUGGUUAGAAGAGCUGGUAUAUAUAAAUAGAUGAUAGGUAGAGAUAUAGAUGGGUAGAAGAGCUGGUGUAUAUAAAUAGAUGAUAGGUAGAGAUAUAGAUGGGUAGAAGAGCUGGUAUAUAUAAAUAGAAGAUAGGUAGAGAUAUAGAUGGUUAGAAGAGCUGGUGUAUAUAAAUAGAUGAUAGGUAGAGAUAUAGAUGGCUAGAAGAGCUGGUAUAUAUAAAUAGAUGAUAGGUAGAGAUAUAGAUGGGUAGAAGAGCUGGUGUAUAUAAAUAGAAGAUAGGUAGAGAUAUAGAUGGUUAGAAGAGCUGGUGUAUAUAAAUAGAUGAUAGGUAGAGAUAUAGAUGGGUAGAAGAGCUGGUAUAUAUAAAUAGAUGAUAGGUAGAGAUAAAGAUGGGUAGAAGAGCUGGUAUAUAUAAAUAGAUGAUAGGUAGAGAUAUAGAUGGUUAGAAGAGCUGGUGUAUAUAAAUAGAAGAUAGGUAGAGAUAUAGAUGGUUAGAAGAGCUGGUGUAUAUAAAUAGAUGAUAGGUAGAGAUAUAGAUGGGUAGAAGAGCUGGUAUAUAUAAAUAGAUGAUAGGUAGAGAUGUAGAUGGCUAGAAGAGCUGGUAUAUAUAAAUAGAUGAUAGGUAGAGAUAUAGAUGGGUAGAAGAGCUGGUGUAUAUAAAUAGAUGAUAGGUAGAGAUAUAGAUGGCUAGAAGAGCUGGUAUAUAUAAAUAGAUGAUAGGUAGAGAUAAAGAUGGGUAGAAGAGCUGGUAUAUAUAAAUAGAAGAUAGGUAGAGAUAUAGAUGGGUAGAAGGGCUGGGAUAUAUAAAUAGAUGAUAGGUAGAGAUAUAGAUGGUUAGAAGGGCUGGUAUAUAUAAAUAGAUGAUAGGUAGAGAUAUAGAUGGGUAGAAGAGCUGGUAUAUAUAAAUAGAAGAUAGGUAGAGAUAUAGAUGGGUAGAAGAGCUGGUGUAUAUAAAUAGAUGAUAGGUAGAGAUAUAGAUGGUUAGAAGAGCUGGUAUAUAUAAAUAGAUGAUAGGUAGAGAUAUAGAUGGGUAGAAGAGCUGGGAUAUAUAAAUAGAAGAUAGGUAGAGAUAUAGAUGGCUAGAAGAGCUGGUAUAUAUAAAUAGAUGAUAGGUAGAGAUAUAGAUGGGUAGAAGAGCUGGUAUAUAUAAAUAGAUGAUAGGUAGAGAUAUAGAUGGCUAGAAGAGCUGGUAUAUAUAAAUAGAUGAUAGGUAGAGAUAUAGAUGGUUAGAAGAGCUGGUAUAUAUAAAUAGAUGAUAGGUAGAGAUAUAGAUGGGUAGAAGAGCUGGUAUAUAUAAAUAGAAGAUAGGUAGAGAUAUAGAUGGGUAGAAGAGCUGGGAUAUAUAAAUAGAAGAUAGGUAGAGAUAUAGAUGGUUAGAAGAGCUGGAAUAUAUAAAUAGAUGAUAGGUAGAGAUAUAGAUGGGUAGAAGAGCUGGUAUAUAUAAAUAGAUGAUAGGUAGAGAUAUAGAUGGCUAGAAGAGCUGGUAUAUAUAAAUAGAUGAUAGGUAGAGAUAUAGAUGGGUAGAAGAGCUGGUAUAUAUAAAUAGAUGAUAGGUAGAGAUAUAGAUGGGUAGAAGAGCUGGUAUAUAUAAAUAGAAGAUAGGUAGAGAUAUAGAUGGCUAGAAGGGCUGGUAUAUAUAAAUAGAUGAUAGGUAGAGAUAUAGAUGGGUAGAAGAGCUGGUAUAUAUAAAUAGAAGAUAGGUAGAGAUAUAGAUGGCUAGAAGGGCUGGUAUAUAUAAAUAGAUGAUAGGUAGAGAUAUAGAUGGGUAGAAGAGCUGGUAUAUAUAAAUAGAUGAUAGGUAGAGAUAUAGAUGGGUAGAAGAGCUGGUAUAUAUAAAUAGAUGAUAGGUAGAGAUAUAGAUGGUUAGAAGAGCUGGGAUAUAUAAAUAGAUGAUAGGUAGAGAUAUAGAUGGGUAGAAGAGCUGGUGUAUAUAUAAAUAGAUGAUAGGUAGAGAUAUAGAUGGCUAGAAGAGCUGGUAUAUAUAUAUAAAUAGAUAGGUAGAGAUAAAGAUGGGUAGAAGAGCUGGUAUAUAUAUAAAUAGAUAGGUAGAGAUAAAGAUGGGUAGAAGAGCUGGUAUAUAUAUAAAUAGAUAGGUAGAGAUAAAGAUGGGUAGAAGAGCUGGUAUAUAUAUAAAUAGAUAGGUAGAGAUAAAGAUGGGUAGAAGAGCUGGUAUAUAUAUAAAUAGAUGAUAGGUAGAGAUAAAGAUGGCUAGAAGAGCUGGUAUAUAUAAAUAGAUGAUAGGUAGAGAUAAAGAUGGGUAGAAGAGCUGGUAUAUAUAAAUAGAUGAUAGGUAGAGAUAAAGAUGGGUAGAAGAGCUGGUAUAUAUAAAUAGAUGAUAGGUAGAGAUAAAGAUGGGUAGAAGAGCUGGUAUAUAUAAAUAGAUGAUAGGUAGAGAUAUAGAUGGGUAGAAGAGCUGGUAUAUAUAAAUAGAUGAUAGGUAGAGAUAUAGAUGGGUAGAAGAGCUGGUAUAUAUAAAUAGAUGAUAGGUAGAGAUAUAGAUGGGUAGAAGAGCUGGUAUAUAUAAAUAGAUGAUAGGUAGAGAUAAAGAUGGUUAGAAGAGCUGGUAUAUAUAAAUAGAUGAUAGGUAGAGAUAUAGAUGGGUAGAAGAGCUGGUGUAUAUAAAUAGAAGAUAGGUAGAGAUAUAGAUGGCUAGAAGAGCUGGUAUAUAUAAAUAGAUGAUAGGUAGAGAUAUAGAUGGGUAGAAGAGCUGGGAUAUAUAAAUAGAAGAUAGGUAGAGAUAAAGAUGGGUAGAAGAGCUGGGAUAUAUAAAUAGAUGAUAGGUAGAGAUAUAGAUGGGUAGAAGAGCUGGUGUAUAUAAAUAGAUGAUAAGUAGAGAUAUAGAUGGGUAGAAGAGCUGGGAUAUAUAAAUAGAUGAUAGGUAGAGAUAUAGAUGGUUAGAAGAGCUGGUAUAUAUAAAUAGAUGAUAGGUAGAGAUAAAGAUGGGUAGAAGAGCUGGUAUAUAUAAAUAGAUGAUAGGUAGAGAUAAAGAUGGUUAGAAGAGCUGGUAUAUAUAAAUAGAUGAUAGGUAGAGAUAUAGAUGGGUAGAAGAGCUGGUAUAUAUAAAUAGAUGAUAGGUAGAGAUAUAGAUGGGUAGAAGAGCUGGUAUAUAUAAAUAGAUGAUAGGUAGAGAUAUAGAUGGGUAGAAGAGCUGGUAUAUAUAAAUAGAUGAUAGGUAGAGAUAUAGAUGGGUAGAAGGGCUGGUAUAUAUAAAUAGAUGAUAGGUAGAGAUAUAGAUGGGUAGAAGAGCUGGUAUAUAUAAAUAGAAGAUAGGUAGAGAUAAAGAUGGGUAGAAGAGCUGGUAUAUAUAAAUAGAUGAUAGGUAGAGAUAAAGAUGGGUAGAAGAGCUGGGAUAUAUAAAUAGAAGAUAGGUAGAGAUAAAGAUGGCUAGAAGAGCUGGUGUAUAUAUAAAUAGAUGAUAGGUAGAGAUAAAGAUGGGUAGAAGAGCUGGGAUAUAUAAAUAGAUGAUAGGUAGAGAUAUAGAUGGUUAGAAGAGCUGGUAUAUAUAAAUAGAUGAUAGGUAGAGAUAUAGAUGGCUAGAAGAGCUGGUAUAUAUAAAUAGAUGAUAGGUAGAGAUGAAGAUGUGUAGAAGAGCUGGUAUAUAUAAAUAGAUGAUAGGUAGAGAUAAAGAUGGCUAGAAGAGCUGGUAUAUAUAAAUAGAUGAUAGGUAGAGAUAUAGAUGGUUAGAAGAGCUGUUAUAUAUAAAUAGAAGAUAGGUAGAGAUAUAGAUGGGUAGAAGAGCUGGUAUAUAUAAAUAGAUGAUAGGUAGAGAUAUAGAUGGGUAGAAGAGCUGGUAUAUAUAAAUAGAUGAUAGGUAGAGAUAUAGAUGGGUAGAAGAGCUGGUAUAUAUAAAUAGAUGAUAGGUAGAGAUAUAGAUGGGUAGAAGGGCUGGUAUAUAUAAAUAGAUGAUAGGUAGAGAUAUAGAUGGGUAGAAGUGCUGGUAUAUAUAAAUAGAUGAUAGGUAGAGAUAUAGAUGGUUAGAAGAGCUGGUAUAUAUAAAUAGAUAAUAGGUAGAGAUAUAGAUGGGUAGAAGAGCUGGUAUAUAUAAAUAGAUGAUAGGUAGAGAUAUAGAUGGGUAGAAGAGCUGGUAAAUAUAAAUAGAUGAUAGGUAGAGAUAUAGAUGGGUAGAAGAGCUGGUAUAUAUAAAUAGAUGAUAGGUAGAGAUAUAGAUGGGUAGAAGAGCUGGUAUAUAUAAAUAGAUGAUAGGUAGAGAUAAAGAUGGGUAGAAGGGCUGGUAUAUAUAAAUAGAUGAUAGGUAGAGAUAUAGAUGGGUAGAAGAGCUGGUAUAUAUAAAUAGAUGAUAGGUAGAGAUAUAGAUGGGUAGAAGAGCUGGUAUAUAUAAAUAGAAGAUAGGUAGAGAUAUAGAUGGUUAGAAGGGCUGGGAUAUAUAAAUAGAAGAUAGGUAGAGAUAUAGAUGGGUAGAAGGGCUGGUAUAUAUAAAUAGAUGAUAGGUAGAGAUAAAGAUGGGUAGAAGGGCUGGUAUAUAUA